GAUGAAUGCUGGCGGCGUGCCUAACACAUGCAAGUCGAGCGGCAGCGCGAGUAGUUUACUACUUGGCGGCGAGCGGCGGACGGCUGAGUAACGCGUGGGAACGUGCCCCAAAGUGAGGGAUAACGCACCGAAAGGUGUGCUAAUACCGCAUAUGGUCUUCGGAUUAAAGAAUUUAUUCGCUUUGGGAGCGGCCCGCGUCGGAUUAGGUAGUUGGUAGGGUAAUGGCCUACCAAGCCGACGAUCCGUAGCUGGUCUGAGAGGACGAUCAGCCAGACUGGAACUGAGACACGGUCCAGACUCCUACGGGAGGCAGCAGUGAGGAAUCUUCCACAAUGGGCGAAAGCCUGAUGGAGCAACGCCGCGCGCAGGAUGAAGGCCUUCGGGUUGUAAACUGCUUUUAUAAGUGAAGAAUAUGACGGUAACUUAUGAAUAAGCACCGGCUAACUACGUGCCAGCAGCCGCCGUAA
This 467-nucleotide ribosomal RNA is filed under the name uncultured bacterium. Its description in RNAcentral is "partial 16S ribosomal RNA". It matches the Rfam family "Bacterial small subunit ribosomal RNA", at positions 28 to 523 of the family's 1533-position model. The record is from RNAcentral.